This 471-nucleotide ribosomal RNA is filed under the name uncultured bacterium. Its description in RNAcentral is "bacterial SSU rRNA". It matches the Rfam family "Bacterial small subunit ribosomal RNA", at positions 8 to 526 of the family's 1533-position model. The record is from RNAcentral.
AGGGUUUGAUCAUGGCUCAGGAUGAACGCUGGCGGCGUGCUUAACACAUGCAAGUCGAACGAACCUUCGGGUUAGUGGCGGACGGGUGAGUAACGCGUGAGAAUCUGCCCUCAGGAGGGGGAUAACGGUUGGAAACGACCGCUAAUACCCCAUAUGCCUACUGGUGAAAUGAAUUUCGCCUGAGGAUGAGCUCGCGUCUGAUUAGCUAGUUGGUGAGGUAAUGGCUCACCAAGGCUUCGAUCAGUAGCUGGUCUGAGAGGAUGAUCAGCCACACUGGGACUGAGACACGGCCCAGACUCCUACGGGAGGCAGCAGUGGGGAAUUUUCCGCAAUGGGCGAAAGCCUGACGGAGCAACGCCGCGUGAGGGACGAAGGCCUCUGGGCUGUAAACCUCUUUUCUCAAGGAAGAAGAUAUGACGGUACUUGAGGAAUAAGCCACGGCUAAUUCCGUGCCAGCAGCCGCGGUAAUAC